This 833-nucleotide ribosomal RNA is filed under the name uncultured Streptococcus sp. Its description in RNAcentral is "bacterial SSU rRNA". It matches the Rfam family "Bacterial small subunit ribosomal RNA", at positions 92 to 912 of the family's 1533-position model. Lineage: Bacteria; Bacillati; Bacillota; Bacilli; Lactobacillales; Streptococcaceae. The record is from RNAcentral.
UGAGUUGCGAACGGGUGAGUAACGCGUAGGUAACCUGCCUGGUAGCGGGGGAUAACUAUUGGAAACGAUAGCUAAUACCGCAUAAUAGUAGAUGUUGCAUGACAUUUGCUUAAAAGGUGCAAUUGCAUCACUACCAGAUGGACCUGCGUUGUAUUAGCUAGUUGGUGAGGUAACGGCUCACCAAGGCGACGAUACAUAGCCGACCUGAGAGGGUGAUCGGCCACACUGGGACUGAGACACGGCCCAGACUCCUACGGGAGGCAGCAGUAGGGAAUCUUCGGCAAUGGACGGAAGUCUGACCGAGCAACGCCGCGUGAGUGAAGAAGGUUUUCGGAUCGUAAAGCUCUGUUGUAAGAGAAGAACGAGUGUGAGAGUGGAAAGUUCACACUGUGACGGUAUCUUACCAGAAAGGGACGGCUAACUACGUGCCAGCAGCCGCGGUAAUACGUAGGUCCCGAGCGUUGUCCGGAUUUAUUGGGCGUAAAGCGAGCGCAGGCGGUUAGAUAAGUCUGAAGUUAAAGGCUGUGGCUUAACCAUAGUACGCUUUGGAAACUGUUUAACUUGAGUGCAAGAGGGGAGAGUGGAAUUCCAUGUGUAGCGGUGAAAUGCGUAGAUAUAUGGAGGAACACCGGUGGCGAAAGCGGCUCUCUGGCUUGUAACUGACGCUGAGGCUCGAAAGCGAGGGGAGCAAACAGGAUUAGAUACCCUGGUAGUCCACGCCGUAAACGAUGAGUGCUAGGUGUUAGACCCUUUCCGGGGUUUAGUGCCGCAGCUAACGCAUUAAGCACUCCGCCUGGGGAGUACGACCGCAAGGUUGAAACUCAAAGGAAUUG